Molecule: ribosomal RNA, 199 nt
Filed under: Nephroselmis pyriformis
Lineage: Eukaryota; Viridiplantae; Chlorophyta; Nephroselmidophyceae; Nephroselmidales; Nephroselmidaceae
Description: partial Bacterial small subunit ribosomal RNA
Rfam family: Bacterial small subunit ribosomal RNA
Source: RNAcentral
GACAGGUGCUGCAUGGCUGUCGUCAGCUCGUGUCGUGAGAUGUUGGGUUAAGUCCCGUAACGAGCGCAACCCUUGUCCCUAGUUGCCAGCACAUAAUGGUGGGAACUCUAGGGAGACUGCCGGUGACAAACCGGAGGAAGGUGGGGAUGACGUCAGGUCAUCAUGGCCCUUACGGCCAGGGCUACACACGUGCUACAAU